This 169-nucleotide ribosomal RNA is filed under the name Pinguipes chilensis (Chilean sandperch). Its description in RNAcentral is "partial 12S ribosomal RNA". The record is from RNAcentral. Lineage: Eukaryota; Metazoa; Chordata; Actinopteri; Uranoscopiformes; Pinguipedidae.
CACCGCGGUUAUACGGGUGGCUCAAGAUGAUAGACUUCGGCGUAAAGAGUGGUUAAGGCGUACUUUAAACUAAAGCCGAAUGCCCUUGAAGCUGUUAUACGCACUCGAGAGUGAGAAGCCCAACUACGAAAGUGGCUUUACUACCCCUGAACCCACGAAAGCUAUGACA